GUGCUCACUUUGACAGCACAUGUGUUAAAAUGGAAACAAUAGAUUAGCUUGGCCCUUGUACGAAGAAUGCAUGCAAAUCUGAGGAGCAUGUCUUAUUUUU
Small nuclear RNA from Rattus norvegicus (Norway rat), 100 nucleotides. The record is from Ensembl. Lineage: Eukaryota; Metazoa; Chordata; Mammalia; Rodentia; Muridae.